Molecule: ribosomal RNA, 243 nt
Filed under: Staphylococcus epidermidis
Lineage: Bacteria; Bacillati; Bacillota; Bacilli; Caryophanales; Staphylococcaceae
Description: partial 23S ribosomal RNA
Rfam family: Bacterial large subunit ribosomal RNA
Source: RNAcentral
AGUGAAAGAGAACUUGAAACCGUGUGCUUACAAGUAGUCAGAGCCCGUUAAUGGGUGAUGGCGUGCCUUUUGUAGAAUGAACCGGCGAGUUACGAUCUGAUGCAAGGUUAAGCAGCAAAUGCGGAGCCGCAGCGAAAGCGAGUCUGAAUAGGGCGUUGAGUAUUUGGUCGUAGACCCGAAACCAGGUGAUCUACCCUUGGUCAGGUUGAAGUUCAGGUAACACUGAAUGGAGGACCGAACCGA